CGUCUAUAUACGUAUAGCAUAUCAAUAAGCGGAGGAAAAGAAACUAACUAGGAUUCCCUCAGUAACGGCGAGUGAAGCGGGAAGAGCUCAAAUUUGAAAUCUUCAAGGUUCUACCUUGACGAAUUGUAGUUUAAAGAAGUGUUUUCUGUUGAAGUUUCGGUAAAAGUUCUUUGGAAUAGGACAUCAUAGAGGGUGAGAAUCCCGUAUUUGACCAGUUACUUUCCAACUGUGUGAUACACUUUCAAAGAGUCGGAUUGUUUGGGAAUGCAGUCCAAAAUGGGUGGUAAAUUUCAUCUAAAGCUAAAUACUGGCGAGAGACCGAUAGCGAACAAGUACCGUGAGGGAGAGAUGAAAAGAACUUUGAAAAGAGAGUUAAACAGUACGUGAAAUUGUCAAAAGGGAAGCGUUUGACACCAGUGUUGUUUUCUCGAAAAUCAAUUAAAAAUGGUGGGAUUUUGUGUUGUAUUGACUUUAUCAGCUUUCUGCACUUUUUUCUUGUCUUUUUUAAUGCACUUUUCGUUUAACAAGUCAACAUCAAUUUCUUUUGUUGUAAAAGGGUCAUUGGAAGGUGGCUUUCUUUUCGGAGAAAGUGUUUAUAGCCUUUGCCUCUGCAAUCGGAGAGAUUGAGGUCUGCAGCGUAGAUCCUUCGGGGUUAGAUGCAUUUGUGCUAAGUUAUAGCCUUUCAUAGACAACUUGUUGACUAUGAUUAGUCAUUGUAGCUUACUCGCUUAUGUAAUUUUACCUACGCUUAGGAUGUUGACGAUCAGCUGAGCGCG
Molecule: ribosomal RNA, 776 nt
Filed under: uncultured Neocallimastigales
Lineage: Eukaryota; Fungi; Neocallimastigomycota; Neocallimastigomycetes; Neocallimastigales
Description: partial large subunit ribosomal RNA
Rfam family: Eukaryotic large subunit ribosomal RNA
Source: RNAcentral